RNAcentral lists this ribosomal RNA (206 nucleotides) under uncultured bacterium. Its description in RNAcentral is "partial 16S ribosomal RNA". It matches the Rfam family "Bacterial small subunit ribosomal RNA", at positions 568 to 774 of the family's 1533-position model. The record is from RNAcentral.
AGCGUAGGCGGACUUUUAAGUGAGAUGUGAAAUACCCGGGCUCAACUUGGGUGCUGCAUUUCAAACUGGAAGUCUAGAGUGUAGGAGAGGAGAAUGGAAUUCCUAGUGUAGCGGUGAAAUGCGUAGAGAUUAGGAAGAACACCAGUGGCGAAGGCGAUUCUCUGGACUGUAACUGACGCUGAGGCUCGAAAGCGUGGGAGCAAACA